This 361-nucleotide ribosomal RNA is filed under the name uncultured Methanosaeta sp. RNAcentral describes it as "bacterial SSU rRNA". It matches the Rfam family "Archaeal small subunit ribosomal RNA", at positions 978 to 1338 of the family's 1478-position model. Lineage: Archaea; Methanobacteriati; Methanobacteriota; Methanomicrobia; Methanotrichales; Methanotrichaceae. The record is from RNAcentral.
AGCUGAGAGGUGGUGCAUGGCCGUCGUCAGUUCGUACUGUGAAGCAUCCUGUUAAGUCAGGCAACGAGCGAGACCCACGCCCACAGUUGCCAGCGUACUCUCUGGAGUGACGGGUACACUGUGGGGACCGCCGCUGCUAAAGCGGAGGAAGGAAUGGGCAACGGUAGGUCAGUAUGCCCCGAAUAUCCCGGGCUACACGCGAGCUACAAUGGUUGGUACAAUGGGUAUCUACCCCGAAAGGGGACGGGAAUCUCCUAAAACCAAUCUUAGUUCGGAUUGAGGGCUGCAACUCGCCCUCAUGAAGCUGGAAUCCGUAGUAAUCGCGUUUCAACAGAACGCGGUGAAUACGUCCCUGCUCCUU